RNAcentral lists this ribosomal RNA (99 nucleotides) under uncultured bacterium. Its description in RNAcentral is "partial 16S ribosomal RNA". It matches the Rfam family "Bacterial small subunit ribosomal RNA", at positions 1386 to 1482 of the family's 1533-position model. The record is from RNAcentral.
CACACCGCCCGUCACGCCAUGGGAGUUGGUUUCACCCGAAGGUGGUGCGCUAACCCGCAAGGGAGGCAGCCAACCACGGUGGGAUCAGCGACUGGGGUG